This is a long non-coding RNA of Cyprinus carpio carpio, 1313 nucleotides long. The record is from Ensembl. Lineage: Eukaryota; Metazoa; Chordata; Actinopteri; Cypriniformes; Cyprinidae.
UUCCCUGUUGUGUGCGCAGGCGUCUGCGCAGCCGAGGGUCAGCACCCAUCCCAGCUGCUUAGACAGCAGCAGACGCAGACCCGGCGGCAGCGGCAGCACGCGCAGAGCGUCUGCGCAGUUGGGCAGCAUUUUGCGCAGCUGCAUGCAACACAGGUACUGUAAUGUUGUGGGCCCAGAAUGUGAACGGAUCAGUUUCAUGCUGCUCUUGGCCGCAGUCGAACACACCAUCGGAUACAGACGCUUAUUCUGCAAGACAGAAAAGAGUGCGUGCAUGUCUUACCGAUGCAGCGCCGGUUCUUGUAGAAGCUCAGGGUGCCGUGCCAAAAGUCCAGAUGAACCCCGAUUAUGGACCCUUGACCGAACCGUGAUGAAAAGUUCACCUUUGACCCCUUAUGGUGUAAGUGACCUGACCCACGAUGAAGGUAGAUGAAGACAGAGAGUUAAAAAACACUUUAAAAAUACAGUCAGAGCAAUGUGGGAUUGGUCAUUUUAUAUAUUUUUGAAUGAAGUCUCUUCUGCUCUACAAGGCUGCAUUUAUUUGAUUAAAAAUACAGCAAAAACAGUAAUAUUGUGAAAUAUUAUUACAAUUCCAAAUAACCCAUUUCUAUUUGAAAAUAUUUUAAAAUGUAAUUUUAAAAAAAUGUGAUGCAAAUCUGAUUUUUUUUAUGCAUCAUUACUGCAGUCUUCAGUGUCACGUGAUCCUUCAGAAAUCAUUCUAAUAUGAUUAUCAGCAUUGAAAACAGUUGUGCUGCUUCGUAUUUUUGUGGAAACUGUGAUACCUUUUAUUUUUCAGGAUUCUUUGAUGAAUAGAAAGUUAAAAACAACAGCAUUUAUUUGGAAUAGAAAUCUAUUAUAACAUUAUAAAUGUCUUAUGUCACUUGGGAUCAAUUUAAUGUGUCCUUACUAAAUAAAAGUAUUAAUCUUACUGACCUCAAACUUCUAUAUCUAAAAUGACAUAUAAUGGAUCUUGUUUUAUACACAGACACGCAGGUUUUUUCAUGUAUUUAAAUGAAUAAUAUUGAUUUAACUGUAUAGAAUGUAGGGGUCACAUGACCUCUGACCUCACCUGUGUAGGACAGACCCCAGCUGUCCUCAUCUGUGCCCAACAGACUGCAGAAGCUAUGUUUGAACUGAUCCAGGUUCACUUCUGAUGUCCCGAUACCAACCAUCUGUACAUAAACACACAAGAUGCAUAUUUGAAAUAUUUCUUUCCACACUUUACUAAGACUUCAUAAAACAUACUUAUCGUCAGUGUUGUGGUUUAGUGUCUUUGUUCAUCCCAGUCCCUGUAUCUCACCAUAUCUGUGCCGUAG